This 401-nucleotide ribosomal RNA is filed under the name uncultured bacterium. RNAcentral's name for it is "bacterial SSU rRNA". It matches the Rfam family "Bacterial small subunit ribosomal RNA", at positions 772 to 1168 of the family's 1533-position model. The record is from RNAcentral.
ACGGAAUAGAUACCCCGGUAGUCCACGCCCUAAACGAUGUCUACUAGUUGUUGGUGGAGUAAAAUCCAUGAGUAAACGCAGCUAAACGCGUGAAGUAGACCGCCUGGGGAGUACGGUCGCAAGAUUAAAACUCAAAUGAAUUGACGGGGGCCCGCACAAGCGGUGGAUUAUGUGGAUUAAAUUCGAUGCAACGCGAAAACCUUACCUGGCCUUGACAUGUAACGAACUUUCCAGAGAUGGAUUGGUGCUCGAAAGAGAACGUUAACACAGGUGCUGCAUGGCUGUCAUCAGCUCGUGUCGUGAGAUGUUGGGUUAAAGUCCCGCAACGAGCGCAACCCUUGCCAUUAACUUGCCAUCAUUUAGUUGGGCACUUUAAUGGGACUGCCGGUGACAAACCGGUA